Long non-coding RNA from Cornus florida, 1443 nucleotides. RefSeq lists it as uncharacterized. The record is from RefSeq and is a predicted model, not a curated record. The transcript has 3 exons. NCBI's taxonomy places the organism in Eukaryota, Viridiplantae, Streptophyta, Magnoliopsida, Cornales, Cornaceae.
GCUGUUAUUAGUUGCACUGACUUGGAUAACAAUGGACACUGUGUUUAUAAAGUUACUGGUGAGGAUGGGGUGCAACAUCGUAUGAGCAGGACAUUUGAAGAUGAAUUGUCGUGCUCGGGUUGUAAAUUUCAAAGAGAGGGGUAUUUGUGCAGGCACAGUCUAAAAAUCCUUAAAGACUGCAUGUUUGUGAAUGAGUUGCCUUCGCGAUAUAUAAUAAAUAGGUGGACUAAAAAUAUUAGAGAUGGCAGGUUGGAGGAAAUUGUUUCCACUGACGUGACUCCGGAUCCUCAACUUGAGAUUAGGCGACGGCAUAGGACGCUUUGCCGUAUACUGACUGAAAUAUCUUCCAUUGCAUCGCAUGACCCCGAAGGAUAUAAUGAUCUAUUAGAAAAAGCACUGGACUAGAAAAGAACAGUACAAAUAACCUGUGGUUGUAGGUUUGCAGAGAAAAUUGCAAAGAGUAAUGGAAAAAAAAGGGUGAAAAGCAACAGUGAACAAUUCCCAUGUCCCUGAAAGUUAAAGAUACCUCUAAAUGACGAUUUAAGAGGAUGAAACCAGCUAUAGAGUUAAAUAGUGAGAAAAGGAGGAAGUCAACGAAAGCAACAAGCCAGGUAUAUGUUACUAUCGCACGUACUGAUAUUUCAUUGUUUAACUAUUUGAACAUGCGAACAAAAUAAAUUCAAGUGCAUAACACUAUAUCCUUCGUCAUAAAACACUCGUGAGUGGAAGAAACUAACAUUUUUUUUUUUUUUUGUUUGAGAUAUCAAAUGAAACCGUUGUUUUGGGGGACACCGGUGGUAGCGAUAGUCCGUCAACCCCGUCAUACGUGUUAGUGAAUGUGAGUAUUAUUGCAACUAUAUUAUAUAUAAGCAUUUACUAUUCAUUCAUGAUUGUUGGUUAACAUGUUGAUGAUGUUGAAAAGUGCAUUGACAGUGUUUAUAUGAAAUAUUUUAGGGUGCAGAAAUUCCCAUCGAAUUUCUCAAUGAAGAAUCUUAUGUAACACCACCAGCUGUAUUCCACAACAGACAGCUUAAUAUUUGUGAACCAUGUACUUCAUCAACUAACCAUGCUGAUAUUGGCGAUCCAGCCAUGUUGUCAUCUCAACUGUUCAGUACGCCCUCUUCAUACGAUGAAUCAAGUGCUCAUCGUUUGGGAGGUGAUGAGACACCUAGGCAAGCACAUGUGAUGCCAACAUCUGGAAUGACAAUGACGUUGGGGAUGAAUCAUCCAAUUCAGCAUCGACUCUUUCAUAUUGAGAAGAAACUUGUGAUGCAAUUGACUUAUCAUUGAUUGUGUGUAUCCUUGUAAUCUUUUGGACAUCUUGUACAAAGUUUAUGGCCUACUUUGGCUGCCCUUGUUACCUUUAGCUGUCAUAUAAUUGACCUUGUAUUCAUUGUGUGCAUGCUUGUAACAUGUUCCACAUAUUGAGUAUCACCAUAUUUU